GACGAACGCUGGCGGCGUGCCUAAUACAUGCAAGUAGAACGCUGAAGGAGGAGCUUGCUUCUCUGGAUGAGUUGCGAACGGGUGAGUAACGCGUAGGUAACCUGCCUGGUAGCGGGGGAUAACUAUUGGAAACGAUAGCUAAUACCGCAUAAGAGUAGAUGUUGCAUGACAUUUGCUUAAAAGGUGCAAUUGCAUCACUACCAGAUGGACCUGCGUUGUAUUAGCUAGUUGGUGGGGUAACGGCUUACCAAGGCGACGAUACGUAGCCGACCUGAGAGGGUGAUCGGCCACACUGGGACUGAGACACGGCCCAGACUCCUACGGGAGGCAGCAGUAGGGAAUCUUCGGCAAUGGACGGAAGUCUGACCGAGCAACGCCGCGUGAGUGAAGAAGGGUUUCGGAUCGUAAAGCUCUGUUGUAAGAGAAGAACGAGGGUGAGAGUGGAAAGUUCACACUGUGACGGUAUCUUACCAGAAAGGGACGGCUAACUACGUG
RNAcentral lists this ribosomal RNA (495 nucleotides) under uncultured bacterium. Its description in RNAcentral is "partial 16S ribosomal RNA". It matches the Rfam family "Bacterial small subunit ribosomal RNA", at positions 28 to 507 of the family's 1533-position model. The record is from RNAcentral.